UAACUCGUAAAUAUCGUUGAUUACUUACCGGAAACCUUUUUUUGCAUCGUUCUAACCAGGUAAAUAAAUUGAACGAAUGCUAUUCA
Schizosaccharomyces pombe (fission yeast) is the source of this 86-nucleotide non-coding RNA. The record is from the annotation of a GenBank genome assembly. NCBI's taxonomy places the organism in Eukaryota, Fungi, Ascomycota, Schizosaccharomycetes, Schizosaccharomycetales, Schizosaccharomycetaceae.